CCUGUAGGUGAACCUGCGGAGGGAUCAUUACCGAGUUUACAACUCCCAAACCCCUGUGAACAUACCAAUUGUUGCCUCGGCGGAUCAGCCCGCUCCCGGUAAAACGGGACGGCCCGCCAGUGGACCCCUAAACUCUGUUUCUAUAUGUAACUUCUGAGUAAAACCAUAAAUAAAUCAAAACUUUCAACAACGGAUCUCUUGGUUCUGGCAUCGAUGAAGAACGCAGCAAAAUGCGAUAAGUAAUGUGAAUUGCCAGAAUUCAGUGAAUCAUCGAAUCUUUGAACGCACAUUGCGCCCGCCAGUAUUCUGGCGGGCAUGCCUGUUCGAGCGUCAUUUCAACCCUCAAGCCCCCGGGUUUGGUGUUGGGGAUCGGCGAGCCCUUGCGGCAAGCCGGCCCCGAAAUCUAGUGGCGGUCUCGCUGCAGCUUCCAUUGCGUAGUAGUAAAACCCUCGCAACUGGUACGCGGCGCGGCCAAGCCGUUAAACCCCCAACUUCUGAAUGUUGACCUCGGAUCAGGUAGGAAUACCCGCUGAACUUAAGCAUAUCAAUAAGCGGA
RNAcentral lists this ribosomal RNA (556 nucleotides) under Fusarium oxysporum. Its description in RNAcentral is "eukaryotic LSU rRNA". The stretch from base 179 to 333 matches the Rfam family "5.8S ribosomal RNA". Lineage: Eukaryota; Fungi; Ascomycota; Sordariomycetes; Hypocreales; Nectriaceae. The record is from RNAcentral.